This 443-nucleotide ribosomal RNA is filed under the name uncultured bacterium. RNAcentral's name for it is "partial 16S ribosomal RNA". It matches the Rfam family "Bacterial small subunit ribosomal RNA", at positions 338 to 795 of the family's 1533-position model. The record is from RNAcentral.
CCUACGGGUGGCAGCAGUGGGGAAUAUUGGACAAUGGGGGGAACCCUGAUCCAGCGACGCCGCGUGAGUGAAGAAGUAUUUCGGUAUGUAAAGCUCUAUCAGCAGGGAAGAAAGAAAUGACGGGACCUGACUAAGAAGCCCCGGCUAACUGCGUGCAAGCAGCCGCGGUUAUACGUAGGGGGCAAGCGGUAUCCGGAUAUACUGGGUGUAAAGGGAGCGUAGAGGGCGAUGCAAGUCUGAAGUGAAAGGCGGGGGCCGAACCCCCGGACUGGGUUGGAAACUGUAUGGCUGGAGUGCAGGAGAGGUAAGUGGAAUUCCUAGUGUAGCGGUGCAAUGCGUAGAUAUUAGGAGGAACACCAGUGGCGAAGGCGGCUUACUGGACUGUAACUGACGUUGAGGCUCGGAAGCGUGGGGAGCAAACAGGAUUAGAUACCCCUGUAGUC